RNAcentral lists this ribosomal RNA (231 nucleotides) under uncultured bacterium. RNAcentral describes it as "partial 16S ribosomal RNA". It matches the Rfam family "Bacterial small subunit ribosomal RNA", at positions 118 to 350 of the family's 1533-position model. The record is from RNAcentral.
UGAGCAACCUGCCCUCAGCUUUGGGAUAACCCUCGGAAACGGGGGCUAAUACCGGAUAUUCACUGCUUCGCGCAUGUGGGGUGGUGGAAAGUUUUUCGGCUGGGGAUGGGCUCGCGGCCUAUCAGCUUGUUGGUGGGGUGAUGGCCUACCAAGGCGACGACGGGUAGCCGGCCUGAGAGGGCGAUCGGCCACACUGGGACUGAGACACGGCCCAGACUCCUACGGGAGGCA